RNAcentral lists this ribosomal RNA (423 nucleotides) under uncultured Nitrosospira sp. Its description in RNAcentral is "bacterial SSU rRNA". It matches the Rfam family "Bacterial small subunit ribosomal RNA", at positions 207 to 622 of the family's 1533-position model. Lineage: Bacteria; Pseudomonadati; Pseudomonadota; Betaproteobacteria; Nitrosomonadales; Nitrosomonadaceae. The record is from RNAcentral.
CAAGACCUUGCGCUCUUGGAGCGGCCGAUGUCUGAUUAGCUAGUUGGUGAGGUAAAGGCUUACCAAGGCGACGAUCAGUAGCUGGUCUGAGAGGACGACCAGCCACACUGGGACUGAGACACGGCCCAGACUCCUACGGGAGGCAGCAGUGGGGAAUUUUGGACAAUGGGGGAAACCCUGAUCCAGCCAUGCCGCGUGAGUGAAGGAGGCUUCGGGUUGUAAAGCUCUUUCAGCCGGAACGAAACGGUCACGGUUAAUACCCGUGACAACUGACGGUACCGGAAGAAGAAGCACCGGCUAACUACGUGCCAGCAGCCGCGGUAAUACGUAGGGUGCGAGCGUUAAUCGGAAUUACUGGGCGUAAAGCGUGCGCAGGCGGUUUUGUAAGUCAGAUGUGAAAUCCCCGGGCUUAACCUGGGAACU